CGUAGGUGGCAAGCGUUAUCCGGAAUUAUUGGGCGUAAAGACGCGCGUAGGCGGUUUCUUAAGUCUGAUGUAAAAGACCCACGGCUCAACCGUGGAGGGUCGAUUGGAAACUAGGGAAACUUGAGUGCAGAAGAGGAAAGUGGGAUUCCAUGUGUAGCGGUGAAAUGCGCAGAGAUAUGGAGGAACACCAGUGGCGAAAGGCGACUUUCUGGUCUGUAACUGACGCUGAUGUGCGAAAGACGUGGGGGAGUCAAACAGGAUU
RNAcentral lists this ribosomal RNA (262 nucleotides) under uncultured bacterium. RNAcentral describes it as "partial 16S ribosomal RNA". It matches the Rfam family "Bacterial small subunit ribosomal RNA", at positions 526 to 779 of the family's 1533-position model. The record is from RNAcentral.